UGUUCUAUGGGGUGCACCGAUGACUCUUUGU
RNAcentral lists this non-coding RNA (31 nucleotides) under Rattus norvegicus (Norway rat). Lineage: Eukaryota; Metazoa; Chordata; Mammalia; Rodentia; Muridae. The record is from RNAcentral.